CCGAGUUUACAACUCCCAAACCCCUGUGAACAUACCAAUUGUCGCCUCGGCGGAUCAGCCCGCUCCCGGUAAAACGGGACGGCCCGCCAGAGGACCCCUAAACUCUGUUUCUAUAUGUAACUUCUGAGUAAAACCAUAAAUAAAUCA
Molecule: unclassified non-coding RNA, 147 nt
Filed under: soil metagenome
Description: partial internal transcribed spacer 1
Source: RNAcentral